This is a long non-coding RNA of Amphibalanus amphitrite, 344 nucleotides long. RefSeq lists it as uncharacterized. The record is from RefSeq and is a predicted model, not a curated record. Lineage: Eukaryota; Metazoa; Arthropoda; Thecostraca; Balanomorpha; Balanidae. The transcript has 2 exons.
UUCGAAUCCGUGAGCCUAGUUUCAGGAGUUGGUUUGGUUUGUUUCUUUUUCUUUGUUUUUGGGCUCUGGCUCUGAGCCGAGGAUCGGGAUUGCUGCCCAAUUAAACUAACACUAACACUGCUACUCAGGUCUGUUCCUUCUGGCUUAAUCCUUCCCCGGCAAUUUCCUCCCCUGGCAUUUGUCCUUCCCUAGGUUUUUUCCUUUUCCGGCUACCCACAACCCUGCUUAGUUACCGCUUAGUACCUACCAACCCCGACACUACAUCGUGGAAGAUCGGACAGUUGAAUGCAAGAAACGAAGAAGUUGGACGCUAGGGCCUGACGGCUGCGCGCCCUAACCCACAA